This 146-nucleotide unclassified non-coding RNA is filed under the name soil metagenome. RNAcentral describes it as "partial internal transcribed spacer 1". The record is from RNAcentral.
CUGAGUGAGGGCCUUCGGGCUCGACCUCCAACCCUUUGUGAACACCAACUUGUUGCUUCGGGGGCGACCCUGCCGUUUCAACGGCGAGCGCCCCCGGAGACCAUCAAACACUGCAUCUUUGUGUCGGAGUUUAAGUAAAUUAAACA